Molecule: long non-coding RNA, 1798 nt
Organism: Rosa rugosa (rugosa rose)
Lineage: Eukaryota; Viridiplantae; Streptophyta; Magnoliopsida; Rosales; Rosaceae
Exons: 6
Source: RefSeq, a predicted model, not a curated record
GAUUGUUGCUCAGCAGUGUGUGUAUUUCUUGCCUCGACACCUGGGUGUUCUCAGUGCUAUCGUGUCUAUGAUACCUCGCUCCACCGAAAGGUAAAUGGUGUUGAGGAUUGUGCAAUCGGUCUUUUAUUUCCAUUUGAGGAUUUUUGGCAAGAUUACUUCCAACCGAUUUGCGGUUCGUCAAAUUUGAUUUGUGUUCAAAGAGUGGGUUUUGGUGGAUGAGUUAAAUUUUGAGUUAAAUUCGAAGUGAUAAAAUUUCCUAGAGACUGAAGGGGUUGCUGAUAGGUUUUCGAUUCGACCAAGAGGAGGAGCAAGGGGACGAGAGGAGCAUGAUUCUGGUGGUUUGAUGGCUGUUCUGCAUCUACCUGGAAAGGUUACUCCUGUUGUCUUUCAGUUUUGGAUAAUAGGAUUUUGAAUAGAGACAAGCAGAGAGGAUAUUUAGUUUUUGGGGUCUUUAUUAUACGCAUCUGAGUUUAUGUCAUUUAUACUUAACAGAACAAGAGAGAAAGAAAGAGGGUGAGGGAGGUGGGGAUUUUGAAUAAGGAUCCCGAGACCCUGAAGGAGCAGAUUGAUAAGUUGAAUAAGCAAAAUUUUAUUCGGAAUCUUAUUGAGAGGAAGCACUAAUUGACACUGUUAGUUUUCUCGGUGCUACUAACAAGCUAAGUUUUCUAAUUUCAUUGAUUUUGCUUCCACGUUUCAUUAAAUUUUUUAUGUUUUGGAUUGCUGCUUUUUGGUUUCUUGGUAAGUUUUCAAUUGCUUUUUAGUUAGUUGGUUGAAUUGUAGUCAGGCAGAGCAUCAAAGAUUUAUAUCUUUGUUUCAUUCAAAUUAUUUACUCAUAUAGUUUAUGAACUUUAUUUUCCGUUGUUUUGUUGCUGAGAAAGUGGAUUUACGAUUAGAAGGAAAAAAAAAAAAACUGUUACUUUUGUCGUCUGUGAUUAAUUGAGAGCCUUGAUUUCAAAACCUAUUGGUUAACAUUACUCAUCUGCCCUUCUUGAUUGCUUUUUUAAGAAGAAUAUAUUCUGAUGUUUUGCAAUUUAAUUUGAGCUUGGCUUUUGAAUUAUUUACUCAUAUAGUUUAUGAACUUUAUUUUCCGUUGUUUUGUUGCUGAGAAAGUGGAUUUACGAUUAGAAGGAAACAAAAAAAAAAAACUGUUACUUUUGUCGUCUGUGAUUAAUUGAGAGCCUUGAUUUCAAAACCUAUUGGUUAACAUUACUCAUCUGCCCUUCUUGAUUGCUUUUUUAAGAAGAAUAUGUUCUGAUGUUUUGCAAUUUAAUUUGAGCUUGGCUUUUGAAUACAGUUAUGGCACCUAAAGGAUGACAAGAAAAAUGAAGGCUCUAGAAAGUGAUCAUAGCUCAGCAAAUUUAUGUUGUGCUGCAAGUUAUAAUGAAAGCUUAUCAAGUAAGGGAGAUAUGGGAGAAAUGAAGAAGGAUCAGACUAUAGAUAUGGGAGCAACUAGAACAACUAUUUUAUGGAAAAUGUUCCAGCAGCAACUGUAACUAAGUUAACCUUAAACUUAGAUAGCCAAUUUCUUGAACGCUAUAAUGGAAAAUGCUGCCAGUUGCUAUCCAUAUUGGAAACUUUAAAAAGAUCUCAAAGCUAGGGCAUGAUCUAAUUCAUCGUUUGUUUUAGAUGUUCUGCAGUGAUGAUAUUGAAAACAGUUCUGUCUUUUAUAUUCUCUCCUUAAGUUUAGGCAGUAGGAAAAUGCACUAUGGAGUGGAGAGAAGCUUUCAGUUCAGAGACAAUGUUGGUGAAACUCAAGUACAUUUCAUGGUCGCGAUUCACAACCCACAGCAAAGUGUGG